Molecule: transfer RNA, 87 nt
Filed under: Cyanobacteria bacterium CRU_2_1
Lineage: Bacteria; Bacillati; Cyanobacteriota
Description: tRNA-Ser
Rfam family: tRNA
About the family: Transfer RNA (tRNA) molecules are approximately 80 nucleotides in length. Their secondary structure includes four short double-helical elements and three loops (D, anti-codon, and T loops).
Source: RNAcentral
GGAGAGGUGGCAGAGCGGUUGAAUGCGCCUGACUCGAAAUCAGGUUUGGGGUCAUACCCAACGGGAGUUCGAAUCUCCCCCUCUCCG